GACGAACGCUGGCGGCGGGCUUAACACAUGCAAGUCGAACGGAAAGGCCCUGCUUGUGUGGGGUGCUCGAGUGGCGAACGGGUGAGGAACACGUGAGUAACCUGCCCUUGACUUUGGGAUAACUUCAGGAAACUGGGGCUAAUACCGGAUAGGAGCCCCUGUUGCAUGGUGGGGGUGGGAAAGUUUGGGCGGUUGGGGAUGGACGCGCGGCUUAUCAGCUUGUUGGUGGGGUAGUGGCUUACCAAGGCAUUGACGGGUAGCCGGCCGGAGAGGGUGGGCGGCCACCAUGGGCCUGCGAUACGGCCCAGACUCCUACGGUAGGCAGCAGUGGGGAAUAUUGCACAAUGGGCGCACGCCUGAUGCAGCAACGCCGCGUGCGUGAUGACGGCCUUCGGGUUGUAAACCGCUUUCGCCUGUGACGAAGCGUGAGUGACGGUAAUGGGUAAAGAAGCACCGGCUAACUACGUG
Molecule: ribosomal RNA, 468 nt
Filed under: uncultured bacterium
Lineage: Bacteria
Description: partial 16S ribosomal RNA
Rfam family: Bacterial small subunit ribosomal RNA
Source: RNAcentral